Long non-coding RNA from Cyprinus carpio (common carp), 800 nucleotides. RefSeq lists it as uncharacterized. The transcript is spliced from 2 exons. The record is from RefSeq and is a predicted model, not a curated record. Lineage: Eukaryota; Metazoa; Chordata; Actinopteri; Cypriniformes; Cyprinidae.
UUUUCUUAAUUUAACCAAAUUUGAUUUAGAAUAAAAAGGAUGCAUUCUAAUGUUUCUGGGCAUUUUUUAUUUCUUUGUUUCAUUUUGCAGAGAAAAAGUAGAAACAUCAAGGGGCAAAUGAAAUGAAUGAUGAUCUCACAAUCCACAACUCAUGAUGAUGGUGUGACUGGUGUCCAAAUGGGACGAAAUGUUUUCUGCUGAGCUGUUCCAGCUCAGGCCCAGAUGCUCAAACAAAGGAGCCUUGUGAUGGGAAACACCAAACUCAUGGACAUUCAUGAUGAAGAAGAUCAUAAAGUGAACUGAUGGACACUUUAACUCUUUAAGUGUCUUUAUGAAGUCUAAGAGAGUCCUGCAGACUGGAGAAACUCAAGACUGGUGUAAUAUUUGACAUUCCUUCACAUUUAACAGGAAGAUCAUAUUUCAUUGUAAUGCAUUUUUCAUGUCAUGUAUUUCACAUUUAUCUGUCUGUAAGUAAGCACAAGCCUUUUGAGUGAAUUGUGCUGUGUGAAGAUGUUUUUACCAUGAGCAGUAAUUCUCAGCUAACAGAAACUGUGUGAGAGAAAUGUGAAUGUUUUAAAAAAAAACAUACAGAAGCACCCAUAUCUCACUGUUUGCCAUAAUAGAGACAAUUUUAUCUCUUGUUCUGUGUUUUAUCAGCAUAUAAAUGAUGAAAAGCUUUUGUCAACUAUUAAUCUCUGUACAGAAAUAGUGCUUCAUUCACAUCCUGUUUCAAGUCCUAUUAAAAUUUUUAUUUGAAGUUGUUUGUCAUGUACUGCAUAUAAAUAAAUGUAAGAAACUCA